RNAcentral lists this ribosomal RNA (1011 nucleotides) under Aspergillus tubingensis. RNAcentral's name for it is "eukaryotic LSU rRNA". The stretch from base 415 to 1011 matches the Rfam family "Eukaryotic large subunit ribosomal RNA", at positions 1 to 601 of the family's 3401-position model. Lineage: Eukaryota; Fungi; Ascomycota; Eurotiomycetes; Eurotiales; Aspergillaceae. The record is from RNAcentral.
UGCCCCCCGGGCCCGUGCCCGCCGGAGACCCCAACACGAACACUGUCUGAAAGCGUGCAGUCUGAGUUGAUUGAAUGCAAUCAGUUAAAACUUUCAACAAUGGAUCUCUUGGUUCCGGCAUCGAUGAAGAACGCAGCGAAAUGCGAUAACUAAUGUGAAUUGCAGAAUUCAGUGAAUCAUCGAGUCUUUGAACGCACAUUGCGCCCCCUGGUAUUCCGGGGGGCAUGCCUGUCCGAGCGUCAUUGCUGCCCUCAAGCCCGGCUUGUGUGUUGGGUCGCCGUCCCCCUCUCCGGGGGGACGGGCCCGAAAGGCAGCGGCGGCACCGCGUCCGAUCCUCGAGCGUAUGGGGCUUUGUCACAUGCUCUGUAGGAUUGGCCGGCGCCUGCCGACGUUUUCCAACCAUUUUUUCCAGGUUGACCUCGGAUCAGGUAGGGAUACCCGCUGAACUUAAGCAUAUCAAUAAGCGGAGGAAAAGAAACCAACCGGGAUUGCCUCAGUAACGGCGAGUGAAGCGGCAAGAGCUCAAAUUUGAAAGCUGGCUCCUUCGGAGUCCGCAUUGUAAUUUGCAGAGGAUGCUUUGGGUGCGGCCCCCGUCUAAGUGCCCUGGAACGGGCCGUCAGAGAGGGUGAGAAUCCCGUCUUGGGCGGGGUGUCCGUGCCCGUGUAAAGCUCCUUCGACGAGUCGAGUUGUUUGGGAAUGCAGCUCUAAAUGGGUGGUAAAUUUCAUCUAAAGCUAAAUACUGGCCGGAGACCGAUAGCGCACAAGUAGAGUGAUCGAAAGAUGAAAAGCACUUUGAAAAGAGAGUUAAACAGCACGUGAAAUUGUUGAAAGGGAAGCGCUUGCGACCAGACUCGCCCGCGGGGUUCAGCCGGCAUUCGUGCCGGUGUACUUCCCCGUGGGCGGGCCAGCGUCGGUUUGGGCGGCCGGUCAAAGGCCCCUGGAAUGUAGUACCCUCCGGGGUACCUUAUAGCCAGGGGUGCAAUGCGGCCAGCCUGGACCGAGGAACGCGCU